CAUGCGGUCACCGUAGGAGGGUGGACCUAGGAGCCCCCUCACUCUGUCCACUGAAUCCCUCUCUUCACACCCCUCCUGCCAGGGGCAGCCCCUCCAGGAAAGAUGCCCAAAGCCGAGGGGCUGGACAUGGCCUCUUCAACUGGGAAUCGCUGGAGGGCAGCCUCUCCCCUGCCCCUGGACCACAGCAGCCAGUCUGAGCCCCAGCCCCCUCGCUGCUUCAGCUACCGCUCCAAAGAUAUAUCUCUUCCUGUGGAUUCUUUUGAAAGUCUCUCUCUUCAUGCCACCCUGAGGGUCAGGCUUAUUCUAGAAGUGCAAUGAAAAGAAUGCUAGACCCAAUUGAGAUGCCUGGAUUCUAGUCCAGCUCUGCCAGUUAGGAAAGUGAUCCUGAGGACAGGAGCAUGUCAAGGGGCCCCAAGGACCAACCUGAAAGAAUGCCAGGCAGCAAAAGAUGGAACCAUUUGAGUAACAUCAUGAUACGGGAUUUUUGGACUGGAGCACACGGCGUUCCCCUGGGCAGGAUGGCUUCCCUGGGCUCUUUGUCCAUCAGAGUCGAAGAAUGAAACCACAGACAGAAGAUGUACAGCAAAGGUGGAAAUUUAUUGAAGGACAAGCACAGAUUCCCACGUGGGGAGGGGGAGUCACACAGCACAGACUCCCAUGUGGGGAGGGGGAGUCACACAGCACAGACUGGGGAGGGAGAAAGAGUCCCACCGAGUUCCUUUUUUCACGGUUUAUAAAGUCUGCAGUUUUUUGUGCCUCGA
Molecule: long non-coding RNA, 761 nt
Organism: Myotis lucifugus (little brown bat)
Lineage: Eukaryota; Metazoa; Chordata; Mammalia; Chiroptera; Vespertilionidae
Exons: 3
Source: RefSeq, a predicted model, not a curated record